CUACCUACGGAGGCAGCAGUGAGGAAUAUUGGUCAAUGGGCGAGAGCCUGAACCAGCCAAGUCGCGUGAGGGAGUACUGCCCUAUGGGUUGUAAACCUCUUUUGUCGGGGAGCAAAAGCCGGACGUGUCCGGCUGUGAGAGUACCCGAAGAAAAAGCAUCGGCUAACUCCGUGCCAGCAGCCGCGGUAAUACGUAGGGGGCAAGCGUUAUCCGGAUUUACUGGGUGUAAAGGGAGCGUAGGUGGCAGGGCAAGUCAGAUGUGAAAACCCGGGGCUCAACUCCGGGAGUGCAUUUGAAACUGGCCA
RNAcentral lists this ribosomal RNA (305 nucleotides) under uncultured bacterium. RNAcentral's name for it is "bacterial SSU rRNA". It matches the Rfam family "Bacterial small subunit ribosomal RNA", at positions 335 to 639 of the family's 1533-position model. The record is from RNAcentral.